ACAGUGUCAGGAUGAAGUUAAUGAUCUGAGCAGAAUGUCGAUUGUAUGGCUGAUUCCUACAAGUCACAGGGAUGUUAUCGGUUCCUCCAGAAACCUCAGUGCCGACCGGGAUCAGUAAUGACGGGGCUCUGUAAGUGGAAUCUCCAUGCAGAGUUCUGGCUUCAGGGGCUCUGAUGAUGUCCCAGGACCUGGCCUCUCUCAUGCUGGCUCCAUUCCCAGGCCGUGUGGCUCCAGGAAGCGAGGGAUAGAAGUGGUGCAGACGUGACCCUGGGGCAUCAAACCUGCCGAGGCCUUGCGGCUGGUCACUGUGAUCUCGGGGCAG
Leptonychotes weddellii (Weddell seal) is the source of this 322-nucleotide non-coding RNA. NCBI's taxonomy places the organism in Eukaryota, Metazoa, Chordata, Mammalia, Carnivora, Phocidae. The record is from RefSeq and is a predicted model, not a curated record.